ACGGGACCCGCACAAGCGGUGGAUGAUGUGGAUUAAUUCGAUGCAACGCGAAAACCUUACCUACCCUUUGACAUGUCCGGAAUCCCGAAGAGAUUUUGGGAGUGCUCGCAAGAGAACCGGAACACAGGUGCUGCAUGGCUGUCGUCAGCUCGUGUCGUGAGAUGUUGGGUUAAGUCCCGCAACGAGCGCAACCCUUGUCAUUAGUUGCCAUCAUUUGGUUGGGCACUCUAAUGAGACUGCCGGUGACAACCGGAGGAAGGUGGGGAUGACGUCAAGUCCUCAUGGCCCUUAUGGGUAGGGCUUCACACGUCAUACAAUGGUCGGUACAGAGGGUUGCCAACCCGCGAGGGGGAGCUAAUCCCACAAAGCCGAUCGUAGUCCGGAUCGCAGUCUGCAACUCGACUGCGUGAAGUCGGAAUCGCUAGUAAUCGUGGAUCAGCAUGUCACGGUGAAUACGUUCCCGGGUCUU
Molecule: ribosomal RNA, 469 nt
Filed under: uncultured Rhodocyclaceae bacterium
Lineage: Bacteria; Pseudomonadati; Pseudomonadota; Betaproteobacteria; Rhodocyclales; Rhodocyclaceae
Description: bacterial SSU rRNA
Rfam family: Bacterial small subunit ribosomal RNA
Source: RNAcentral